This 79-nucleotide microRNA precursor is filed under the name Carlito syrichta (Philippine tarsier). RNAcentral's name for it is "mir-199 microRNA precursor family". It matches the Rfam family "mir-199 microRNA precursor family". From Rfam's summary of the family: This family consists of the microRNA (miRNA) precursor mir-199 which appears to be specific to humans. Animal miRNAs are transcribed as ~70nt precursors and subsequently processed by the Dicer enzyme to give a ~22nt product. Lineage: Eukaryota; Metazoa; Chordata; Mammalia; Primates; Tarsiidae. The record is from Rfam by way of RNAcentral.
GCUCCUUCGCCCAGUGUUCAGACUACCUGUUAAGGACAAUGCCGUUGUACAGCAGUCUGCAUAUCGGUUAGACUGGGCA